Molecule: ribosomal RNA, 483 nt
Filed under: uncultured bacterium
Lineage: Bacteria
Description: partial 16S ribosomal RNA
Rfam family: Bacterial small subunit ribosomal RNA
Source: RNAcentral
GACGAACGCUGGCGGCGUGCUUAACACAUGCAAGUCGAACGCUGAAGCUCAGCUUUUGUUGGGUGGAUGAGUGGCGAACGGGUGAGUAACACGUGAGUAACCUGCCUCCUUCUUUGGGAUAACGCCCGGAAACGGGUGCUAAUACUGGAUAUUCACUGGUCUUCGCAUGGGGGUUGGUGGAAAGGGUUUUUCUGGUGGGGGAUGGGCUCGCGGCCUAUCAGCUUGUUGGUGGGGUGACGGCCUACCAAGGCUUUGACGGGUAGCCGGCCUGAGAGGGUGACCGGUCACAUUGGGACUGAGAUACGGCCCAGACUCCUACGGGAGGCAGCAGUGGGGAAUAUUGCACAAUGGGCGCAAGCCUGACGCAGCGACGCCGCGUGAGGGAUGGAGGCCUUCGGGUUGUGAACCUCUUUCGCUCAUGGUCAAGCCGCAACAAUGGUUGUGGUGAGGGUAGUGGGUAAAGAAGCGCCGGCUAACUACGUG